UACGUAGGACCCAAGCGUUAUCCGGAGUGACUGGGCGUAAAGAGUUGCGUAGGUGGUCAGUAAAGUGAAUAGUGAAAUCUGGUGGCUCAACCAUACAGGCUAUUAUUCAAACUCACUGACUCGAGAAUGGUAGAGGUAACUGGAAUUUCUUGUGUAGGAGUGAAAUCCGUAGAUAUAAGAAGGAACACCAAUGGCGUAGGCAGGUUACUGGACCAUUUCUGACACUGAGGCACGAAAGCGUGGGGAGCGAACCGG
RNAcentral lists this ribosomal RNA (255 nucleotides) under uncultured bacterium. RNAcentral describes it as "partial 16S ribosomal RNA". It matches the Rfam family "Bacterial small subunit ribosomal RNA", at positions 524 to 776 of the family's 1533-position model. The record is from RNAcentral.